AUGACGCACACACGCGCACACGCCCCAAAGUUUACAGUCAGUUUCAUUGGAAUACUAGUUUAUGGAAAAUGUAAAUGUUAUUUUAAAGAUAAUUUUAUUGAUCUGAAUGUUGAAAAUAUUUCAAUGAGAGUCUUAAAUGAUAAUUAUUUGAUUUUAAUCUCCAAUCUUUGCGAUUUUGUAACAAUUCCACCGGUGAUAUAGGUUAUCCCUCUCUGCUUCUUAGCUUCUAACUGUAAUGAAGUAAUAAUUAUUUCUAUUAUUCAGGAAUGUUUGAAAAUACUAGUUUCAAAUUAGUGAAAUGCUAUUGAAAGAUGUGGAUAAUGAAGAUUUGAAAGUGAACGGAAGAAACCAUGGCACAGGAAGUAAUCUAGAAAACGAUAAUAUGUCAGAUAGCGUUGGUGAUUCAGGGGCCUCAGGCUUCAGCACAGAAAGUGAGUUCUCCAGUAAUGAGCCGAGA
Molecule: long non-coding RNA, 457 nt
Organism: Nilaparvata lugens (brown planthopper)
Lineage: Eukaryota; Metazoa; Arthropoda; Insecta; Hemiptera; Delphacidae
Exons: 3
Source: RefSeq, a predicted model, not a curated record